This is a long non-coding RNA of Wasmannia auropunctata (little fire ant), 1082 nucleotides long. RefSeq lists it as uncharacterized. Lineage: Eukaryota; Metazoa; Arthropoda; Insecta; Hymenoptera; Formicidae. The transcript has 3 exons. The record is from RefSeq and is a predicted model, not a curated record.
CUUUCGGCAAUGGUGCGUGCGUUGGCUCGGAGCGCGCGGCGUGGAGAGCGCUCCGCAAUUAAUCGCGAAUUUCACCCGUUGUAAGGAUGCACCUGAACGCGAGGUUCGGUCGGGAAUGUUGGCCGGAGCAACCGGCCAUCGCCGGAACGUGUAUCGGUGUUAACGCGGGGUCCUCGUGAUCGGCGUCGUUUCGUCGGUCGCUCGACGCUGCGUCGUAAUCAACGUACAAGUUUCGGAGCGCGCGGCGUGAGAUCGCUCGUCGCAAUUGAUCGCGAAUUUCACCCGUUAGGGAUGCACCUGAACGCGAAGUUCUGUCGGGAGUGUCGGGAGUGUUGGCCGGAGCAACUGGCCAUCGCCGGAAUGUGUAUCGGUGUUAACGCGGGGCCCUCGUGAUCAGCGUCGUUUCGUCGGUCGCUCGACGCUGCGUCAUAAUCAACGUACAGUCUCGGAGCGCGGGGCGCGAGAUCGCUCGUCGCAAUUGAUCGCGAAUUUCACCUUGAAUGCGAAGUUCUAUCGGGAAUGUUGACCGGAGUAACGAGCCAACGCGCCGGAACGUAUCGGUUAACGCGUUAUUUCGUUGAUCUGCUGUGCCGUGCAUCGUAAUCAACGUACAGUUCCAAUUCCGACGACGUAGGCGUACAAAAAUCAUCCUUACGUUCUUUCGCGAGGGAUAACUGUUUCUUCGAUGGAGCCGAUGCGGAUCAUUUGAGGCGGAAUUUGCAACGGGUGGAGUAACUGCAAUAUCACAGGUGACAAGGCGGUGCAGAGGAUUUUCCUUGCCUUUUCAUGAGAUGUGAGUCUCGGUCUGGUAAUUCGAUCAUUCGUAUUCCCUGGCCAACCCCGGGUCUUCUCGACAUCGGGCGAUUGCGAUUUCGUAACAGUUGCGACAACGAUUCACCACGAUGUUGUACGGCCAGAAGAGAUUUCAGUGAAACCUAUUUUUGCCGGGAGGAGCGAGAAGAGUUUGAUAAGCGACUUAUAUAACGCACUACUAUCGCAAUCGCUGACAUUGAUUCGGCGAGAGAGCCAAUCGUACGAUUAAUUUUUGUCAUUAAAUAUAAAUCUUAACGUAUUUCAUCUAU